GACGAACGCGUGGCGGCGAGGCUUAACACAUGCAAGUCGAACGCUCGUGGCAACACGGGAGUGGGCAGACGGGUGAGUAACGCGUGGGAACAUGCCCUUUGGUUCGGAAUAACUCAGGGAAACUUGAGCUAAUACCGGAUAAGCCCGAGAGGGGAAAGAUUUAUCGCCGAAGGAUUGGCCCGCGUCCGAUUAGCUAGUUGGUGAGGUAACGGCUCACCAAGGCGACGAUCGGUAGCUGGUCUGAGAGGAUGAUCAGCCACACUGGGACUGAGACACGGCCCAGACUCCUACGGGAGGCAGCAGUGGAGAAUAUUGGACAAUGGGGGCAACCCUGAUCCCAGCCAUGCCGCGCGAGUGAUGAAGGCCUUAGGGUUGUAAAGCUCUUUCGGCGGGGACGAUAAUGACGGUACCCGCAGAAGAAGCCCCGGCUAACUUCGUGCCAGCCGCAGC
Molecule: ribosomal RNA, 450 nt
Filed under: uncultured bacterium
Lineage: Bacteria
Description: bacterial SSU rRNA
Rfam family: Bacterial small subunit ribosomal RNA
Source: RNAcentral